Long non-coding RNA from Quercus robur (English oak), 382 nucleotides. RefSeq lists it as uncharacterized. The transcript is spliced from 3 exons. The record is from RefSeq and is a predicted model, not a curated record. NCBI's taxonomy places the organism in Eukaryota, Viridiplantae, Streptophyta, Magnoliopsida, Fagales, Fagaceae.
CCGUCGCCGUCGCUGCUUCUCCCCCCCGUCGCCGUCGCUGCUUCUCCCUCCCGUCACCGUCGCCGUCGCUGCCUCUCGCCGUCACAAUAUGGCUGCUGUUCCUGCUCAGCUCCCUGAUGAGUUUGGUCCUGGGCCCAUGGACGAUUCGGUGUUGAGGUUUAUAAAAACACAUCGAGCGUGCGCUGUUUGGGAAGGCAAGGAUCCAGGGCCACUGAAAUGCCGCGGUCGUAAUGACGAGUUCCGAAAACGACGCCGGAUAGUGGUGGAUGAUCGUAUCGUCGACAUUGUGAAGAGAGUUGGAUUAGAGGGGCUGUAUAGGACCCCAGGUAGAGAGAUUGAUCAUAACCUGAUCACAACCUUCGUUGAGCGAUGGCGGCCUGAA